UUUCCAGACUCCUACGGGAGGCAGCAGUGGGGAAUAUUGCACAAUGGGGGAAACCCUGAUGCAGCGACGCCGCGUGAGCGAUGAAGUAUUUCGGUCUGUAAAGCUCUAUCAGCAGGGAGGAAAAUGACGGUACCUGACUAAGAAGCCCCGGCUAACUACGUGCCAGCAGCCGCGGUAAUACGUAGGGGGCAAGCGUUAUCCGGAUUUACUGGGUGUAAAGGGAGCGUAGACGGCAAUGCAAGCCAGAUGUGAAAGCCCGGGGCUCAACCCCGGGACUGCAUUUGGAACUGUGUAGCUGGAGUGUCGGAGAGGCAGGCGGAAUUCCUAGUGUAGCGGUGAAAUGCGUAGAUAUCAGGAGGAACACCGGCGGCGAAGGCGGCCUGCUGGACUGCAACUGACGUUGAGGCCCGAAAGCGUGGGGAGCAAACAGGAUUAGAUACCCUGGUA
Molecule: ribosomal RNA, 447 nt
Filed under: uncultured bacterium
Lineage: Bacteria
Description: bacterial SSU rRNA
Rfam family: Bacterial small subunit ribosomal RNA
Source: RNAcentral